ACGGGAGCUUGCUCCCUUAGGUCAGCGGCGGACGGGUGAGUAACACGUGGGUAACCUGCCUGUAAGACUGGGAUAACUCCGGGAAACCGGGGCUAAUACCGGAUGCUUGAUUGAACCGCAUGGUUCAAUCAUAAAAGGUGGCUUUCAGCUACCACUUACAGAUGGACCCGCGGCGCAUUAGCUAGUUGGUGAGGUAACGGCUCACCAAGGCGACGAUGCGUAGCCGACCUGAGAGGGUGAUCGGCCACACUGGGACUGAGACACGGCCCAGACUCCUACGGGAGGCAGCAGUAGGGAACCUUCCGCAAUGGACGAAAGUCUGACGGAGCAACGCCGCGUGAGUGAUGAAGGUUUUCGGAUCGUAAAACUCUGUUGUUAGGGAAGAACAAGUACCGUUCGAAUAGGGCGGCACCUUGACGGUACCUAACCAGAAAGCCACGGCUAACUACGUGCCAGCAGCCGCGGUAAUACGUAGGUGGCAAGCGUUGUCCGGAAUUAUUGGGCGUAAAGCGCGCGCAGGCGGUUUCUUAAGUCUGAUGUGAAAGCCCCCGGCUCAACCGGGGAGGGUCAUUGGAAACUGGGGAACUUGAGUGCAGAAGAGGAGAGUGGAAUUCCACGUGUAGCGGUGAAAUGCGUAGAGAUGUGGAGGAACACCAGUGGCGAAGGCGACUCUCUGGUCUGUAACUGACGCUGAGGCGCG
This 700-nucleotide ribosomal RNA is filed under the name uncultured Bacilli bacterium. RNAcentral's name for it is "bacterial SSU rRNA". It matches the Rfam family "Bacterial small subunit ribosomal RNA", at positions 72 to 755 of the family's 1533-position model. The record is from RNAcentral. Lineage: Bacteria; Bacillati; Bacillota; Bacilli.